CCUCUCCAUGAAUCACCACCCCUUUGUAGCUCCUUGCCCUGUCCUCUCUCUUGUUCGCCGGCUCCUCUCUGCUAUCUGUUUUCUUCUCCACGCUUUUAGGAUUGAGAGGACAAUGAUCCUCAUCAUGGCAUAGACUAGAACAGAACUUGCAAAUGCCAAACAGCUUCUCGUAUUUAAGAGACACCGGGACCUCUUCCUCAUCAUAGAAUUCUCCUCCUUUGAACUCCACGGAUGUUUCCAGUGUUAGCUCUUUAAAGCCAUCAAUCACCACUCGCAUAUUUCCGUAGUCCAGAUCUACAUCCGUAGUCUCUCCAAUGGCAUCACCUAUGCUUUGAAGCGCUGGAGUUGACCAAAACUCUGUCGGAAGACCUUCCAC
RNAcentral lists this long non-coding RNA (376 nucleotides) under Brassica napus (rape). Its description in RNAcentral is "long non-coding RNA (BNAP_LNC013897)". The record is from RNAcentral. Lineage: Eukaryota; Viridiplantae; Streptophyta; Magnoliopsida; Brassicales; Brassicaceae.